UCCAUCCCCCCUUGUCCUCUCCCUCCCUGCCCUCAUCAUCAAAGCAGGGAAUGAGCUGAACCACCUUUGUCUUGACUGAAAAACCCUCCUGUACGUAGUAAGUUGAUGAUAACCAGGUGAUCCAUUCCCUUCCACUGCCCCUCAAGGGCUUUUGUGGUGUCUUCACAGUCACGUUAUAAAAUACAAUGUUACAAAAGUAUGAAAAUUCCGGUGUCCUACCAGUAUGGUCAUCUCUGGAGGGAAUGGGGGAAGGAGUAGCUGAAUGGUUGAGGGGUUUUUUUUAACCAGUCCUGUUAGGCAGAUGCACUGGGGCUCUGGAGAGCUGUGUGCUCUCCAUCCAGAGGCUCUGCAGCCCAAGGGUGGGCAGCACCUUCCCCUCUGAGCUUCCCACCACCCCAGCAAGAUCCCCUCUGAGCUUCCCACCACCCCAGCAAGAUCCCCUCUGAGCUUCCCACCACCCCAGCAAGAUCCCCUCUGAGCUUCCCACCACCCCAGCAAGAUCCCCUCUGAGCUUCCCACCACCCCAGCAAGAUCCCCUCUGAGCUUCCCACCACCCCAGCAAGGUCCCCUCUGAGCUUCCCACCACCCCAGCAAGAUCCCCUCUGAGCUUCCCACCACCCCAGCAAGAUCCCCUCUGAGCUUCCCACCACCCCAGCAAGAUCCCCUCUGAGCUUCCCACCACCCCAGCAAGGUCCCCUCUGAGCUUCCCACCACCCCAGCAAGGUCCCCUCUGAGCUUCCCACCACCCCAGCAAGAUCCCCUCUGAGCUUCCCACCACCCCAGCAAGAUCCCCUCUGAGCUUCCCACCACCCCAGCAAGAUCCCCUCUGAGCUUCCCACCACCCCAGCAAGAUCCCCUCUGAGCUUCCCACCACCCCAGCAAGAUCCCCUCUGAGCUUCCCACCACCCCAGCAAGAUCCCCUCUGAGCUUCCCACCACCCCAGCAAGGUCCCACCCGAGCGGUGCCUUUGGCCGGGCAGCUCAUCCUCCCCGUCCCAGAGGAUCCCUUCUGAUUUCCCAAAGCUGACAGCCCGGCUGCUUUUGUGUUC
Molecule: long non-coding RNA, 1048 nt
Organism: Apus apus (common swift)
Lineage: Eukaryota; Metazoa; Chordata; Aves; Apodiformes; Apodidae
Exons: 3
Source: RefSeq, a predicted model, not a curated record